GUGAAUCAUCGAAUCUUUGAACGCACAUUGCGCCCUCUGGUAUUCCAGAGGGCAUGCCUGUUUGAGCGUCAUUUCUCUCUCAAACCUUCGGGUUUGGUAUUGAGUGAUACUCUUAGUUGAACUAGGCGUUUGCUUGAAAUGUAUUGGCAUGAGUGGUACUGGAUAGUGCUAUAUGACUUUCAAUGUAUUAGGUUUAUCCAACUCGUUGAAUAGUUUAAUGGUAUAUUUCUCGGUAUUCUAGGCUCGGCCUUACAAUAUAACAAACAAGUUUGACCUCAAAUCAGGUAGGAUUACCCGCUG
RNAcentral lists this unclassified non-coding RNA (300 nucleotides) under uncultured Debaryomyces. RNAcentral describes it as "sequence contains 5.8S rRNA gene, ITS2". The stretch from base 1 to 71 matches the Rfam family "5.8S ribosomal RNA", at positions 84 to 154 of the family's 154-position model. The record is from RNAcentral. Lineage: Eukaryota; Fungi; Ascomycota; Saccharomycetes; Saccharomycetales; Saccharomycetaceae.